UCUAGUGGCGGACGGGUGAGUAACGCGUGAGUAACCUGCCUUGGAGUGGGGAAUAACACAGUGAAAAUUGUGCUAAUACCGCAUAAUGCAUUUGGAUCGCAUGAUUCUGAAUGCCAAAGAUUUAUCGCUCUGAGAUGGACUCGCGUCUGAUUAGCUAGUUGGCGGGGCAACGGCCCACCAAGGCGACGAUCAGUAGCCGGACUGAGAGGUUGGCCGGCCACAUUGGGACUGAGACACGGCCCAGACUCC
This 249-nucleotide ribosomal RNA is filed under the name uncultured Eubacteriales bacterium. RNAcentral's name for it is "uncultured Clostridiales bacterium partial 16S ribosomal RNA". It matches the Rfam family "Bacterial small subunit ribosomal RNA", at positions 91 to 339 of the family's 1533-position model. Lineage: Bacteria; Bacillati; Bacillota; Clostridia; Eubacteriales. The record is from RNAcentral.